Molecule: long non-coding RNA, 2572 nt
Filed under: Lupinus angustifolius (narrow-leaved blue lupine)
Lineage: Eukaryota; Viridiplantae; Streptophyta; Magnoliopsida; Fabales; Fabaceae
Description: long non-coding RNA (LANG_LNC001948)
Source: RNAcentral
AAACAAUAAAUAACCCUACAAUAUCCGUCUAAAACGAAUAUUUUACAUUUACCAUGUCUCAUCCAAAGUUGUGUUUCAGGUACACGAUUAUGGAAGUCAUGCAUACGGUCCACGGCUUCACUUGAGGAGAGAGCAUAUGUCAGUAUCUCGUGUCCAUGAUGCACGAGAUUAGAGAGAUCCCGUAUUGUUGGUCCACGAUUUCCCCAAAGUCGUGGAUAUCAUUCACGAAUUCCAUUAAAACUACGCUAGUUCCAUCAAUAUUUUGAACAUAUACUAAACAUGUGAUAGUGUAGUUUGACUACACAAUCCACAUAAAUUUUCCCUAUGUGACCUUUCCCUUUUUGAGAUGUAGAUGCGUGAGGUGCUUUAGUCGGUUCAGUAUGCAAUAAAUCAUUAACUUUAUCACAAAGAUUGCCAUCCUCAUAUUCCUCUUCUACCUUCCUUCUUUUACUCUUCAUUUCAUCAAUUGAUUUCUGGAUUUGGUGUUGAAUAUCUACUAGUACUUUCUUGCACUUUUCAACUUGUCCUUUUACUCCUGUCAAAUGAGCCUUAAACCAAGUGAUGUCACCCAUUUGAUUUGUUUCAUGCAAAAAAGGUAUAAUAGAACCGUUCUUCCAUUAUCAGCAACAACUUGUUUGCAAUGUGUCCAAGCUGGAUUUGAUUUACCUCUAUAUCUGCUUGUAGAAGUAUUUUUUGUUGAUGUUUCUUGUGAUGUUGGUAAUUCAUGUUCAUUUUAUUCCAUCUAUUUCUACAACAUAAGCUAUUAAGAACAAUUAAAAACAAUUCCAUUAUUGAUGGAUAUUGCCCACUUACAAGGAAUAAAAACAAUGUUAUUUCUUACAAUAUAAGCAAUUAAGAACAAUGUUAUUUGUAUCAACUUUAAAAAGCAAUUUGUUAAACCAUAAUAUCUCAUCGUGAAUAUCAUCUUGAUAUCUAAGUAUGUAACAUUCAUCCAAUAAGUAAAACACUAUAUAUCACAAUGUCAAAAGACUGCAACUUCACUUAUAUCUAUAUCUUGUGCCAAAGGACCUACAAAGUUAUGCUAUAAGAUGUGAGGACCUACCAAUCAUUUGGUAUUUUCCUCUAGUAGAAAUAAAGAAAAGCUUUUAUAACCACUAAGUGGUAACAACUACACACAUAGUUAUCAAACAUCAAGCUACCAAGCAUAUGCAAUCGCACCAAGCAUAGUCCUUCUCAUAUAUAUGCAAUCAGAUUAAAAUGGACUUGAAAAUCAAUGGAAUAUUUAAUAACAUCAUCAUGGUUUAAAUUCUCUUAUCCAAACAAAGGAAGCUACUAUUUUGUUCCUUUUGCUUAGAUUUGCCUUCGGGUUAGUGUCUUUGUUACUGAAAUAUAGGGCAAGCCUUAAGGGUGGGUCAUGUUAAAUAAAGAAAACUUUGAUUGACGGAACAUGGUGUUCAUGAAGAUAUAAAAAAGCAAAUGCACAAGUAAGAAAACAGUCCAUCUUAGUGAGUAGUGAGUAGUGACUAGUGAGAGCAUAAGUAAGAAAGUAGUUCAUUGUAGUGAGUAGUAAGCGCAUAUUCUUUAAAAUCAGUCGCAAAAUACAUGUAACAUACACUCUUAACAUUGUAUUACUCCACUCAACUUAAAAUAUAUGAAAUCAAAGUCAAGUAGUUUUUAGUAUGUAAAUAGUCUUUACCUAUGUAAAAUUACAUCUCUUGUUUUCUUAAUUUACCAUCAAUUGGUAAAAAAUAUAUGAUAUGUUGGACAAUGUCACAAGAAGCAUAUCUAAUGUUGCUUCUACUGUCGCUUCUUUACUUUGUGCCAACAAUUUCAUAUGGCAAGUGGAUAACGGAAAAAACCCAAUCAAUUAAGAGGGAAAAAGAAAGGUGGGUAUAGUUUGAUAAAAUUGGAUUAUAAUGUAUAGACCUUAGUACCUUACAAAGUUACAACUAGAGAUAUUAUAGUCAUGAAUUAAGGUUAGUGCUGCUUACUAACCCACCACUUCAAGUGCCAAGCUUAUCCACUUGGUUGCAGAAAGAUAUACAAAAAUAUCCAAUUAUCAUUACAAUAGUUAGAUAUUAGAUGCACUAGUUAGAUAUAAAGAUUGGAAGGCAUUAAAAUAUUAGAUGAUACCAUUACAAUAUUACACACACUCUCUCUGCUUUGAAGUAUCUUCAUUGCAUAAGGUAAUGGUGGAUGAUUGAAGAUGCUAUGUUAUGGUAUUACCUAAAUUAGUAAAUUAGGUUUUUCUCCCUUAAUGAGUAAGAGUGCAGUAUUACCUCAAAACCUGCUGAUCUGGAAAUGGAAGAAGAGAAUCACAAAACCGGUGGAAGGGAAUGAAAAGGAAUGAACAGAACUAGUGGAAGGGAUUGGAAUCGAGAUGAUGCACGUGUGGAAGGGACUAGACGGAGAUGAAGCACCAGUGGAAGCCUCGAUCUGGAAAAGAAGUGAAGAAAGUGUGAACCGUGUAGAUGAUUGACCUUGAACAAUUGAAGGAGAAAAUUAAAGGUGGGUUGAAGAAGGGUUGAUGAAGUGUGUAGAUGAUGGAGAUGAAUCAUGUAUGAAAAUUGAGAAGUUAAAACUUAAAACUUAAAACCCUCUUCCCUUAAAC